CCUACGGGAGGCAGCAGUGGGGAAUAUUGGACAAUGGGCGAAAGCCUGAUCCAGCAAUGCCGCGUGAGUGAUGAAGGCCUUAGGGUUGUAAAGCUCUUUUACCCGGGAUGAUAAUGACAGUACCGGGAGAAUAAGCCCCGGCUAACUCCGUGCCAGCAGCCGCGGUAAUACGGAGGGGGCUAGCGUUGUUCGGAAUUACUGGGCGUAAAGCGCACGUAGGCGGCUUUGUAAGUUAGAGGUGAAAGCCCAGGGCUCAACCCUGGAAUUGCCUUUAAGACUGCAUCGCUAGAAUUGUGGAGAGGUAAGUGGAAUUCCGAGUGUAGAGGUGAAAUUCGUAGAUAUUCGGAAGAACACCAGUGGCGAAGGCGACUUACUGGACACAUAUUGACGCUGAGGUGCGAAAGCGUGGGGAGCAAACAGGAUUAGAUACCCGAGUAGUC
This 440-nucleotide ribosomal RNA is filed under the name uncultured bacterium. Its description in RNAcentral is "bacterial SSU rRNA". It matches the Rfam family "Bacterial small subunit ribosomal RNA", at positions 338 to 795 of the family's 1533-position model. The record is from RNAcentral.